Molecule: ribosomal RNA, 683 nt
Filed under: uncultured bacterium
Lineage: Bacteria
Description: bacterial SSU rRNA
Rfam family: Bacterial small subunit ribosomal RNA
Source: RNAcentral
UGCAGUCGAGGGGCAGCAUUGGAGUAGCAAUACUUCAGAUGGCGACCGGCGCACGGGUGAGUAACACGUAUCCAACCUGCCGCUUACUCGGGGAUAGCCUUUCGAAAGAAAGAUUAAUACCCGAUGGUAUAAAGAGUUCGCAUGUUCUCUUUAUUAAAGAAUUUCGGUAAGCGAUGGGGAUGCGUUCCAUUAGAUUGUUGGCGGGGUAACGGCCCACCAAGUCUACGAUGGAUAGGGGUUCUGAGAGGAAGGUCCCCCACAUUGGAACUGAGACACGGUCCAAACUCCUACGGGAGGCAGCAGUGAGGAAUAUUGGUCAAUGGACGAGAGUCUGAACCAGCCAAGUAGCGUGAAGGAUGACUGCCCUAUGGGUUGUAAACUUCUUUUAUAAGGGAAUAAAGUGAGGGACGUGUCCCUUUUUGUAUGUACCUUAUGAAUAAGGAUCGGCUAACUCCGUGCCAGCAGCCGCGGUAAUACGGAGGAUCCAAGCGUUAUCCGGAUUUAUUGGGUUUAAAGGGAGCGUAGGUUGACAUAUAAGUCAGCUGUGAAAGUUUACGGCUCAACCGUGAAAUUGCAGUUGAUACUGUAUGUCUUGAGUGUACAAGAGGUGGGCGGAAUUCGUGGUGUAGCGGUGAAAUGCUUAGAUAUCACGAAGAACUCAAUUGCGAAGCAGCUCACUGGGG